Molecule: long non-coding RNA, 779 nt
Organism: Chelonia mydas (Green sea turtle)
Lineage: Eukaryota; Metazoa; Chordata; Testudines; Cheloniidae
Exons: 2
Source: RefSeq, a predicted model, not a curated record
GCAGGAGUAGGCAGGGCUUGUAUAAAGCCAGGAAGGGAGAACAGAAGGGGGCUAUAGCAUAGAAGUUUGCAGUCACUUUCUGGGUGUAGGGAGGAGAGAAGAACAAAACCCAUUAGGGGAGCAGAAGUCCUGGGAUCCUGACCCCUGAGGGAGCUGGAAAAGAAAGCCGGUGGAGGGCAGAUUAGGAAGGAGAGUGGGAAGACUUGCCUGGAAUGGCACCUGGACAGCUACUCCAGUGAGACUUCCUUACCCUGGAAGGAGGAAAACUGUAUAGUGACGUGGUUGGUGGGCCAAUCCACAAAGACAAAGCAUUACAAUUCCUAGAGAGCAAGAGGAGCCAUGGCAUGAGCGAGCAAAGGAAGGGGAUAUCAGACUGGGCAGAACUAAUUCCCAGAUGCAGGCACAAGGGUGUCCCAACGAUAAAAAAAAGAAACUAGUAGUUGAUCUUAGCAGCUGGAAGCCAGAAGAAAUCCACUUUAGGGUUCUUGAAGAAACAGCAGGAGAAAUUGUGAAGCUGUUAUGAAUAGGUUGAGUGCCAGUAAGCUAUUUCCAUAUCAGAUGACUGUUUUUUUUGUUCAUUUCCAAUCUCCCAAAAGGGGAAGAAAAGAGACCCAUGACAUUGCUGACCACUUACUCAAACUCUUUACUUUACUAAAUCUUGGAAAAUAAAAUCACAAAAUCAAUAGGUAUGUAGAUUGAAAUAUCUAGAGCUGUUUAUUGUCAAAGAUUCUUGGGCUGUCUAUCGACCUGUAUAUUAAACUUUCUAUUCUCAAGUGUGA